CUUUUCACACCCUACGCAGUUUCUACUGUUCAUUAACCGGUUUGUCCUAGGAUACAAAAUGUAGCCUUUGAGCUUUUGGGGUGUUCAUUUCCUCUUUCCUUUAAUCCUAAUCUCGUGUAUAGAAAUUCUAAACAAUCUAAGGCAAUUGAGACAUAUACCUAAAUUGAACCCAAAAUACCUAAAGCUUGUUCCUUUGAUGUUCUUGUUGUGUAUCCUUUAUUGAAUUUCUUCUUGUUGUGUAUGUUUUCUGGUUUCUGCAGAUAUUGUGUUAAAUAUGGGAUUAUUGUUAUUAUUAUUUUUUCCGUUCGAUCUUUUGGGAGAUCAAACCCCAUAUACCUAUUAUGCUACGAGAGUGGAGAAGAUUGAGGCUAACCCAAGUAAAGGCCUGAUUGAUAUCCAGACCUUGCAGACCGAUAAUGACAAAAUCGAAGCCAACUCCUGAAACACCCUCGCCCGCAUCCUCUCAUGGAGGUGAUUCACCAGCUCUUUGAAAGAGAAACGAGCAAUCUGAUUGUUCAGUCUAUUUCAAUCCUACUGGAGUCGCUGGUUUGGUUUCUUCAGAUUGGGUUCAACCUUCUGCGUCACUAUGUUCGGCUUAUAGAUUUACAGGGAAGGAGAAACCUUCUAUAAAUUGGGAGACUCGGAUGCAAAUUACUCUAGGUUCUGCAAAUGGAUUGACAUAUCUGCAUGACACGAGUCAACGAUUAUACACUGUCAUAUUAAAUUUGCUAACAUUCUUCUCGACCACAAAUUUGAAGCCAAGUGAAAAUGGCUGCAAAGAUUUUACAUUCUUUCACCAGAGAUAAUUCAGAAUUGCAAAAGCAAAUAGGAUAUAUGACAAGCAUCUUUCGAUUGUUCGAUCGUCAGUCUGUUCUUAUUGGGAGGCGCAUCUUUGGCCACAACUCAAAGGGGCUGUUGAUAGGCCCAGCUAAAUAUAUUUAUUCUAGAGGGGUCAAGAAGAUUGGAGGAGGGCAGAGGCUGCAACAAAGAACUGUGACAAUGUAGUUACUUGUAGUUUGGUGGUUUACUUCAAAACUGACUUUAGUGGAUGCUUCAUUUAUUUAAAGGAAUAAGAGUGGUGAAUUUGAGCUUUUCA
Molecule: long non-coding RNA, 1096 nt
Organism: Olea europaea var. sylvestris
Lineage: Eukaryota; Viridiplantae; Streptophyta; Magnoliopsida; Lamiales; Oleaceae
Exons: 7
Source: RefSeq, a predicted model, not a curated record